Molecule: transfer RNA, 169 nt
Filed under: Marmota monax (woodchuck)
Lineage: Eukaryota; Metazoa; Chordata; Mammalia; Rodentia; Sciuridae
Description: tRNA.Thr
Rfam family: tRNA (bases 5-65)
Source: RNAcentral
GGAAUGUAGCUCAGUGGUAGAGCACUUUCCUAGUAUGUAUGAAGCUCUGGAUUUAAUCCCCAGCACAACGAAAAUAAAGAAAGAAAUAAGACAUAAUUUGAGGCUUGGGACAUUGCUCAGUGGUACACACUUAGUAUGCACAAAGCCCUGGGUUCAACUCCCAGCACCA